This 253-nucleotide ribosomal RNA is filed under the name uncultured bacterium. Its description in RNAcentral is "partial 16S ribosomal RNA". It matches the Rfam family "Bacterial small subunit ribosomal RNA", at positions 524 to 776 of the family's 1533-position model. The record is from RNAcentral.
UACAGAGGUCCCAAGCGUUGUUCGGAAUUACUGGGCGUAAAGCGUGCGCAGGCGGUUCGUUGUGUCGGCGGUGAAAGCCCCGGGCUCAACCUGGGAAUGGCCGUUGAAACUGGCGAACUGGAGUGUGGCAGAGGGGGGUGGAAUUCCGCGUGUAGCAGUGAAAUGCGUAGAGAUGCGGAGGAACACCGAUGGCGAAGGCAGCCCCCUGGGCUAACACUGACGCUCAGGCACGAAAGCGUGGGGAGCAAACAGG